GUCCACGCCCUAAACGAUGUCAACUGGUUGUUGGUGGGGUUAAACCCAUUAGUAACGAAGCUAACGCGUGAAGUUGACCGCCUGGGGAGUACGGCCGCAAGGUUAAAACUCAAAGGAAUUGACGGGGACCCGCACAAGCGGUGGAUGAUGUGGAUUAAUUCGAUGCAACGCGAAGAACCUUACCUACCCUUGACAUGCCAGGGAGCUCGAUGAGAGUCGAGUGUGCCCGAAAGGGAGCCUGGACACAGGUGCUGCAUGGCUGUCGU
This 266-nucleotide ribosomal RNA is filed under the name uncultured bacterium. RNAcentral's name for it is "partial 16S ribosomal RNA". It matches the Rfam family "Bacterial small subunit ribosomal RNA", at positions 793 to 1055 of the family's 1533-position model. The record is from RNAcentral.